Molecule: ribosomal RNA, 427 nt
Filed under: Pseudomonas sp.
Lineage: Bacteria; Pseudomonadati; Pseudomonadota; Gammaproteobacteria; Pseudomonadales; Pseudomonadaceae
Also listed under: 1 other name
Description: partial 16S ribosomal RNA
Rfam family: Bacterial small subunit ribosomal RNA
Source: RNAcentral
UGGGGAAUAUUGGACAAUGGGCGAAAGCCUGAUCCAGCCAUGCCGCGUGUGUGAAGAAGGUCUUCGGAUUGUAAAGCACUUUAAGUUGGGAGGAAGGGCAGUUACCUAAUACGUGAUUGUUUUGACGUUACCGACAGAAUAAGCACCGGCUAACUCUGUGCCAGCAGCCGCGGUAAUACAGAGGGUGCAAGCGUUAAUCGGAAUUACUGGGCGUAAAGCGCGCGUAGGUGGUUUGUUAAGUUGGAUGUGAAAUCCCCGGGCUCAACCUGGGAACUGCAUUCAAAACUGACUGACUAGAGUAUGGUAGAGGGUGGUGGAAUUUCCUGUGUAGCGGUGAAAUGCGUAGAUAUAGGAAGGAACACCAGUGGCGAAGGCGACCACCUGGACUAAUACUGACACUGAGAUGCGAAAGCGUGGGGAGCAAACA